GACGAACCGUGCGAACGUUAUUCGGAAUCACUGGGCUUAAAGCGCGUGUAGGCGGAUGGGAACGUCGGUUGUUGAAAGCCCCCGGCUCAACCGGGGAACUGGCACCGAAACGACCCGUCUGGAGGGACGUAGGGGGACCUGGAACUUCCGGUGGAGCGGUGAAAUGCGUUGAGAUCGGAAGGAACGCCCGUGGCGAAAGCGAGGUCCUGGACGUCUACUGACGCUGAGACGCGAAAGCUAGGGGAGCGAACGGG
This 254-nucleotide ribosomal RNA is filed under the name uncultured bacterium. RNAcentral describes it as "partial 16S ribosomal RNA". It matches the Rfam family "Bacterial small subunit ribosomal RNA", at positions 524 to 776 of the family's 1533-position model. The record is from RNAcentral.